RNAcentral lists this ribosomal RNA (301 nucleotides) under uncultured bacterium. RNAcentral's name for it is "partial 16S ribosomal RNA". It matches the Rfam family "Bacterial small subunit ribosomal RNA", at positions 509 to 807 of the family's 1533-position model. The record is from RNAcentral.
CAGUCGCCGCGGUAAAACGGAGGGGGCUAGCGUUGUUCGGAAUUACUGGGCGUAAAGCGCACGUAGGCGGCUUGGUAAGUUAGAGGUGAAAGCCCGGAGCUCAACUCCGGAAUUGCCUUUAAGACUGCCGAGCUAGUAGGUGAGAGAGGUAAGUGGAAUUCCGAGUGUAGAGGUGAAAUUCGUAGAUAUUCGGAAGAACACCAGUGGCGAAGGCGGCUUACUGGCUCAUUCUAGACGCUGAGGUGCGAAAGCGUGGGGAGCAAACAGGAUUAGAUACCCCCGUAGUCCCUGUCUCUUAUAC